RNAcentral lists this ribosomal RNA (459 nucleotides) under uncultured bacterium. RNAcentral's name for it is "partial 16S ribosomal RNA". It matches the Rfam family "Bacterial small subunit ribosomal RNA", at positions 338 to 795 of the family's 1533-position model. The record is from RNAcentral.
CCUACGGGAGGCAGCAGUGAGGAAUAUUGGUCAAUGGCCGAGAGGCUGAACCAGCCAAGUCGCGUGAGGGAAGAAUGUCCUACGGAUCGUAAACCUCUUUUGUCGGGGAGCAAAGUCACCCACGUGUGGGGGUUGGAGAGUACCUGAAGAAAAAGCAUCGGCUAACUCCGUGCCAGCAGCCGCGGUAAUACGGAGGAUGCGAGCGUUAUCCGGAUUUAUUGGGGUUAAAGGGUGAUUAGGCGGGUUAUAUAGGCAGCGGUAAAAUCGUGGGGCUCAACGCCGUCCAGCCGGUGAAACUGAUGACUUUGAGUGGGCGAGAAGUAGGCGGAAUGCGUGGUGUAGCGGUGAAAUGCAUAGAUAUCACGCAGAACUCCGAUUGCGAAGGCAGCAUACCGGCGCCCGACUGACGCUGAAGCACGAAAGCGUGGGUAUCGAACAGGAUUAGAUACCCGUGUAGUC